CGCCGCCAACGCUGCUCUCUGUCCCCAAGUUCGGCGCCACCGCCCCUCACCCCGUCGAGACAUCACGAAGUUCUGGUGUAUACCUACUCCCCUCCGUCGUUCCCCCUCUUCCCCACUUCUGUCUCGGCGGAGGCGGCGGCCUCCCUCCGUUCUCGGCCCACGGAUUGUUCGCGGGCGUUGCGGACAGGCUUGAUAUGGCGAUCGGGAUGAGGGAGGGGCGAAGGAGGCGAUGAGCGCCACGGCUGGUUGUGCUUUGUUGGUUCGCCUGGUCGCAUCCUCCACGACUCACGGCCGGCGACGACCACCUGCGGUUGGAGCCUCCUCUCCAGCCUAGUUCAUCGUCUGUAGUGAAGGUUUUGAGCAGGUAAUCCAAACCUAUGCUAUUCACGUGCUGUCCUUAACAUACCAGAAAGUUCCUAGGCCAGUUCUAGUAGAGGCCAUCAACAUUGAAGGUCUUGCACUGGUCAUGUUUAUGGAGUAGCAUGCUGCAAACUCAGGAUGGGUUAUUGAGAAGGGUUGAUGGUCUCAACUGGUUGUCCUUCCGCGCAAUGAGUUCAAUCACCCCGAGCUGAAGAACACAGCGGACACCGUUCGAGCACAUCACUCGCAUAUUCCCUGUAUUGAGCUGAUUGAACAACCAUGGCCGAAUUGACAUUGAGCACUGGCGUGGUCUUGGUUGCACCCAGACCUCCGGGGAGUUUUUUAGAACAGGGAAUGAAGAAGCUAGUCUUGGCGAUUGUAUUUUCUGUUCAGUCAGUGAUGAUACAGAUUGUUCGUGAUUUCGAUGAGCUAGACCGUCUUAGGUUCCACGACAAGGCUACUCAGGUGGAUGCUAAGAAAAUUGACAUGGAGGAGGAAAAGCUCAUGUUAAUGUUUGAGGUAACAAGACAACGUCUUUUAUAGAUGAUUUGGCAGAGCAGGAUCAGGAUGAAAAGAAGAUCAUGCAACAAUUACGUAACGAAAAGAUUCAAGGUGAUAGAAGAGUUGGAAGCGAAUGUAGCUCGAGGUUCUUAUAGACAAAUUGAUCAAAUUUUCAGUAGCAACCGUUAGUGUAGUCAUCACAUGAGCUCCUGAGUGCCAUGUAAAUAAUGUUGAAUUCAUACUUUCUGUCAUUUUCUCUUGUUUGAGGAGAGCUCAAUCUUACUCAUGUAAUAGUACUAGCAACUUGGUGGUUCUCAGACUAAAGCAAAGUAGCUUUGUAUUUUUUUGGUUCA
Molecule: long non-coding RNA, 1214 nt
Organism: Lolium rigidum
Lineage: Eukaryota; Viridiplantae; Streptophyta; Magnoliopsida; Poales; Poaceae
Exons: 3
Source: RefSeq, a predicted model, not a curated record